RNAcentral lists this transfer RNA (70 nucleotides) under Podarcis lilfordi (Lilford's wall lizard). RNAcentral describes it as "tRNA.Ala". The record is from RNAcentral. Lineage: Eukaryota; Metazoa; Chordata; Lepidosauria; Squamata; Lacertidae.
GGCCAUAGCUCAGUGGUAGAACAUCUGUCUUGCAUGCAGAAGGUCCCAAAUUCAAUCCUCAGCAUCUCCA